This 284-nucleotide long non-coding RNA is filed under the name Capsella rubella. RNAcentral's name for it is "long non-coding RNA (CRUB_LNC000893)". The record is from RNAcentral. Lineage: Eukaryota; Viridiplantae; Streptophyta; Magnoliopsida; Brassicales; Brassicaceae.
AAAAGUAAUACUUCCGCUUUCCGGAGAAAAUGAAAGCUGGUAGAGAAGUAAAAUCCCGAAGAUAUUACAAAAAGGCUCACGGCCCAAGUUCAAGAAUCUCUUAAAAAAAAAAAAAAAAGGAAGAACAAGAGGAUUUUUAGACGACUUCCACGUCAUCUUCAAGAUUGCCCGGAUCGGAAGGAGGAUCGUCGCUGCCAUCAGAAGCUCGGAGUUUGGCUUGGAAGGCCGCCGCAUUUGAUUCGUGAGGAUCUCGGAUAGAUCUCGGAGCAGGAUCUUCGGGCCGC